RNAcentral lists this transfer RNA (92 nucleotides) under Chromobacterium violaceum. RNAcentral describes it as "tRNA-Arg(gcg)". Lineage: Bacteria; Pseudomonadati; Pseudomonadota; Betaproteobacteria; Neisseriales; Chromobacteriaceae. The record is from RNAcentral.
GCGGGCUUGGCCGAGGCGGUGGACGCGUUCUGCGAGAGCGUGGGCUUUUCCCCGGCGCAGACCCGCCGGGUGUUCGAGGCGGCGCGCGCGCA